This 254-nucleotide ribosomal RNA is filed under the name uncultured bacterium. RNAcentral describes it as "partial 16S ribosomal RNA". It matches the Rfam family "Bacterial small subunit ribosomal RNA", at positions 524 to 776 of the family's 1533-position model. The record is from RNAcentral.
CACGUAGGCACCAAGCGUUGUCCGGAUUUAUUGGGCGUAAAGAGCUCGUAGGCGGUUCAGUAAGUCGGGUGUGAAAACUCUGGGCUCAACCCAGAGACGCCACCCGAUACUGCUGUGACUUGAGUACGGUAGGGGAGUGGGGAAUUCCUGGUGUAGCGGUGAAAUGCGCAGAUAUCAGGAGGAACACCGAUGGCGAAGGCAGGUCUCUGGGCUGACACUGACGCUCAUGCACGAAAGCGUGGGGAGCAAACAGG